RNAcentral lists this long non-coding RNA (745 nucleotides) under Coffea arabica (coffee). RNAcentral describes it as "long non-coding RNA (CARA_LNC004462)". Lineage: Eukaryota; Viridiplantae; Streptophyta; Magnoliopsida; Gentianales; Rubiaceae. The record is from RNAcentral.
GAUCCGGACGGCGGCCUUGGACCGAGGCCGAGUCGCGCUUGUGCACCCUGUGCGCCAACAAGCCGCCCAGACACAGUACUAGGAGUUUUUUACUGGGACCAAGCUUCAAUUUCUCCAAGGAAAGGCCACCUAAGUCAUCUGCUGCACCGUCGCUGCCGUCGUCAUCCCCAACAACAUUCUUCAGCUUCAUGCCUUGGAUUUUUGCUGCCAUUUGAUGAUUCAAGAGCACCACGUGUCAAUGAUUUUCACAGCGAGAGAGGUAGAAAAGGAAGGUUAAAUUUAUAGAUGGAGGAAGCGAAAUGAAUACGCAUUUUUAACUAGGAGUUUUUUAAAAAAAAAACAAGUUUUUUACUGGGACCAAGCUUCAAUUUCUCCAAGGAAAGGCCACCUAAGUCAUCUGCUGCACUGUCCCUCUCGUCGUCGCUGCCGUCGUCAUCCCCAACAACAUUCUUCAGCUUCAUGCCUUGGAUUUUUGCUGCCAUUUGAUGAUUCAAGAGCACCACGCGUCAAUGAUUUUCACAGCGAGAGAGGUAGAAAAGAAAGGUUAAAUUUAUAGAUGGAGGAAGCGAAAUGAAUACGCAUUUUUAACUUCUCUUUUACGUGUGUGUCAACUAAGGAAAAUCUUUUGGAAUUUCGAGGUUCAUGCUCAUGCAUAGAAAUACAGAGCCCCAAGGAGGCAGUGACCAAUCGAAUUCUAUACAUUCUAUUCUUCCUUCUACUACUAUUGUAAUACUGAAUUAAGUAC